RNAcentral lists this ribosomal RNA (487 nucleotides) under uncultured bacterium. Its description in RNAcentral is "bacterial SSU rRNA". It matches the Rfam family "Bacterial small subunit ribosomal RNA", at positions 31 to 507 of the family's 1533-position model. The record is from RNAcentral.
GAGAACGCUGGCGGCGUGGAUUAGGCAUGCAAGUCGAACGGUAGGAUACCUUCGGGUAUCUGAGAGUGGCGAACGGGUGAGUAACACGUAGGUGAUCUACCCUCAAGAUUGGGACAACCCAGGGAAACUUGGGCUAAUACCGGAUGAAAGCAGCAGUGAUGUUGUUUGAAAGGUGGCGUAAGCUGCCGUUUGGGGAUGAGCCUGCGCUCUAUUAGUUAGUUGGCGGGGUAAAGGCCCACCAAGGCGAUGAUAGAUAGGCGGCCUUAACGGGUGGUCGCCCACACUGGGAUUGAGAUACGGCCCAGACUCCUACGGGAGGCAGCAGUCGAGAAUAGUCUACAAUGGCCGAAAGGCUGAUAGUGCGACGCCGCGUGAACGAAGAAGCCCUUCGGGGUGUAAAGUUCUUUUAUAUGUGAGCAGUGCUUUCUAUGUGAACAGCAUGGGGAGAGAGAUAUUAGCAUAUGAAUAAGCAACGGCUAACUCCGUG